Molecule: long non-coding RNA, 2702 nt
Filed under: Homo sapiens (human)
Lineage: Eukaryota; Metazoa; Chordata; Mammalia; Primates; Hominidae
Description: long non-coding RNA NONHSAT152143.1
Source: RNAcentral
UCUUCAGCUACCAGGGUGGGUAGGGGAGGACCAUCAGGUUGGGUCAGGGCUAGGCCUGUCUGAGUUCAGACUCUCCUUGAGGGGGUCUUGCUGUGGCUGAGUAUUUGGGGUGUCUCCUGGGUCCUACAGGAGCAGUCAGAUUCCUUCAGAGGGUCUGUGGGUCCUCUUGGGAUUGCUGGCUUGUUCUUGCAGUCAAUCUGGAGCUAAAAUUCACAAUGCAAGCCUCCGCACACUGUCUGUCCAUCUGAAUCAUCUAGUUCUGCCUCCCGUCUGGUCUGCCAUAAUGAUCUCUCUCCCUCUCCAUUGCUUUUAGAAAAUAGGAAACCAAAGUAGAUUACAGGGAAUCAAAUUUGAUACACUUAAUCUACUCAGGCUCAGAAAGGAGAGGUCACAAAUCCUAAACCAUUCUGAAAAUCAUCAGUAUUAGAAUGCAUUCAACACAUGGUUGCUGAGGACCUGCUUUGUACUGAGCACUGUUGUAGAGAUAAUACAGUGUUUAAACCAGACAAAAAUUCUAGCUUGUGGAGCUUGCAUUCCAGUGAAGACUUUUCCUUCUUGGCAGCAGUUCCAGAUGGGAUGGGUGGGGUGAUGGCAAGGAGAAAGAGAAUGAAGUUGUAGAUUGUGGAAAUUGCACCCUUGCUCUAUUUUGUGAUCAUGAAAUAAAAACAUAAGCAAUGUGAUGUCCAGGCCUUAUGACUCAUGCCUGUAAUCUCAACACUUUGGGAGGCCAAGAUGGAAGGAUUAUUUGAGUCCAGGCAUUCAAGACUAGCCUGGGCAACAUAAUGAGACCUCAUCUGUACAAAAUAUUUUUAAAAAUUAGCUGGCACGGUGGCAUGCACCUGUAAUCCCAGCUACUUGGGAGGCUGAGGUGGGAGGAUCUCUAGAGCCAGGGAGGUCAACAUUGCAGUGAGCCCUGACCACACCACUGCACUCCAGCCUGAGCCACAAAGCAAAAAUAAUAAAUAAUAAUGAACAAAAUAAUAAAAUAAUAAACAAAAUAAUGAAAUAAUAAACAAAAAAAAUCCAUAGCAAUGUGAACCAAAUAGAUUAUAAAGGAGGAUGAUAUCCAUUAAGUCUUCUUCAUUCUCAUGGCUCUUGUCCCUGUGUUUAUUUGCCUUAAGAAUGUAGCCAAAUCUUAUCUCCGUCUAGUGAAAAUCACUUGAUAGAAAGUUACAUUAAUGCACAAAUUCACAAAGAGAAUUUGCAUGAUUUUCAGAACCAAAUUAAUCCCUAAUUACUGGCAUACAGCUAUUUGAGCCAAAAGAUCAUAUUGCAUUUUAAACAAUAUAAACUCAUCCUUUAUCAGUCUUCAUUUGCAUAAGAAGCAUCUUAUUCUCAGUCAAACAGAGCAAAUCAAAUCCUGAAAGUUAUUUGUUCCAGCACAAGACUUUGAAUAUUCUGUUUCCUUUUCUACUCCUACAGUUAAUCUGCCAGAGCCAAGAUUAUUCCUUCACCCUUUUUUAGUCCCUGAACCUUUUGCAAAGCUAAUGAAAGUUAUAGGAUUUCUCAGAAAUAUGAGGGUACAGGAAAAUGUGCACUCAUACACAAACAUAUUUUGAAUGCCGCUUUUUAAAAAAUCAAGUCCAACCCCUAUGUGAUCAAAAUGAUAAAUUAAGGCUAUGGGAAGUUAAAAAGUAUGCUAAAGAUGGUUAAGAGACAUACUGAAAGUCAAACAGUCAACAGAGAAGUACAUGAAACCAAGUUCUCAAAAGUUUGUUUUGUUCUGCCAGUACCUGAGACCACUCUCAGAUAUAUAGGUCCCCAGCUCUGAAACACUUUGUCAAUAUUAAUAUAGAACAACAUUAUCUUUGUAACACAUUUGCACUCCGAUUCCUUUGUGAACAGAGUUAAUGUGUCCUCUGACCCACAGUGAUUUUAGGGUUGCCACUUGAGCUGAACAGGGCCUUCCCUCCCAUCUUCCAAUGCAGAAACUCUGGUUGGGCAUCCAGAGUAACUCAGCAACAUAACUGCCAUCACAAACAUGUGCAGAAAGAGUUCUGACCUGUUGUGUUGGAAGCCAGAGAAUGGAAUAGUUUUGUAGCUCUCCUUUGUGGCUUAUUCCUUACUCAACAGCCAUUCUGCUUUUGACCUGAAAAACUGGGCCAGGGAGAUUCUGUACCAUCAGGCAUAUUUCUUAUUGGGCUGUGUAAGUCUAGCAUAUGGCUAAUUACAAUUUACACCUCCUUAAGUGCUCUAACAAUCCACUAAAGACUGUUUUGUCUCUUUGGUUUACUGUUUGUAGCACUUUUUGCAGGCAAAGCAGUAAACAAUUCCUUUGGAGGUACUUUUUAAUUUCAAAUGAUGAUGGAAGAUGAUGGUCUUCUGUCUGGGUUGUUAAUGAUAUAUUCUCAGCCUGAUCUGUUAAAUGAUUGUGUUCCUAAUGAUAUGUCAUUUGCUUUCUACAGUGUCCUGGUGACCAGUUUUCUAUUUCUUCAUCUUCCAUGGUGGAGACAUGCCCAUUGAGGAUAAAAUAAAGAACUAAGGUAGGUGAAGGAAAAAUAAAGAAGAUGAGAUUUUAGGAACAAAAUAUCUAUGGCAUAAAAUGCACUAAUAGAAGUAAUAACUAAUAAAGAUAUUUGAAGUGAGUUGUUUCAUUUUUGUAUUCUUAUUUUUGUCGCUGACCUUUUUAGCUGUGUGUUUGAGAGACAAAAUUGUGCUCUGUUGCAAGAAGAUGGGUGUCUCUUAAAAUAACAUAGAAUGGA